This 514-nucleotide ribosomal RNA is filed under the name uncultured bacterium. RNAcentral's name for it is "bacterial SSU rRNA". It matches the Rfam family "Bacterial small subunit ribosomal RNA", at positions 8 to 518 of the family's 1533-position model. The record is from RNAcentral.
AGGGUUCGAUUCUGGCUCAGGAUGAACGCUAGCGGCAGGCCUAAUACAUGCAAGUCGGACGGGAUUUCCCUUCGGGGAAAUGAGAGUGGCGCACGGGUGCGUAACGCGUAUGCAACUAACCCUCAUCUGGGGGACAGCCGGUGGAAACGCCGGGUAAUACCCCAUGUCCACCACAGGCGGCACCGCCCAUGGUGGAAAGACUUUGGUCGGAGGAGGACGGGCAUGCGUCCCAUUAGAUAGUAGGCGGGGUGACGGCCCACCUAGUCGACGAUGGGUAGGGGAUCUGAGAGGACGGUCCCCCACACUGGUACUGAGACACGGACCAGACUCCUACGGGAGGCAGCAGUAAGGAAUAUUGGGCAAUGGGGGGAACCCUGACCCAGCCAUGCCCGCGUGAGGGAAUGAGGCCCUACGGGUCGUAAACCUCUUUUGUUCGGGGACAAGGACGGGAUCGAGAAUCCUGUUUGCGGGUACCGGACGAAUAAGCAUCGGCUAACUCCGUGCCAGCAGCUGC